GAUUCGCGGCCUAUCAGCUUGUUGGUGAGGUAAUGGCUCACCAAGGCGACGACGGGUAGCCGGCCUGAGAGGGUGACCGGCCACACUGGAACUGAGAUACGGUCCAGACUCCUACGGGAGGCAGCAGUGGGGAAUAUUGCACAAUGGGCGAAAGCCUGAUGCAGCAACGCCGCGUGAGGGAUGAAGGCCUUCGGGUUGUAAACCUCUUUUAGCAGGGAAGAAGCGAAAGUGACGGUACCUGCAGAAAAAGCACCGGCUAACUACGUGCCAGCAGCCGCGGUAAUACGUAGGGUGCAAGCGUUGUCCGGAAUUAUUGGGCGUAAAGAGCUCGUAGGCGGUUUGUCGCGUCUGCUGUGAAAAUCCAAGGCUCAACCUUGGACCUGCAGUGGGUACGGGCAGACUAGAGUGCGGUAGGGGAGAUGGGAAUUCCUGGUGUAGCGGUGGAAUGCGCAGAUAUCAGGAGGAACACCAAUGGCGAAGGCACAUCUCUGGGCCGUAACUGACGCUGAGGAGCGAAAGCGUGGGGAGCGAACAGGAUUAGAUACCCUGGUAGUCCACGCCGUAAACGGUGGGUGCUAGUUGUGGGCCACAUUCCACGUGGUCCGUGACGAAGUUAACACAUUAAGCACCCCGCCUGGGGAGUACG
RNAcentral lists this ribosomal RNA (646 nucleotides) under uncultured bacterium. RNAcentral describes it as "bacterial SSU rRNA". It matches the Rfam family "Bacterial small subunit ribosomal RNA", at positions 228 to 884 of the family's 1533-position model. The record is from RNAcentral.